Molecule: long non-coding RNA, 443 nt
Organism: Cervus elaphus (red deer)
Lineage: Eukaryota; Metazoa; Chordata; Mammalia; Artiodactyla; Cervidae
Exons: 3
Source: RefSeq, a predicted model, not a curated record
GGGGAAGAGCCAGCCCCACGCCGGUCCGCCUCCCGCCCGCGGCCCGGCCUCCCUCCCGCUCGCUGCUUGGCUCGGCGCUCCUUCGCCCCGAGUUCUCCAUCCCCUGGAUCCCGGGCUCGCGGGGGCGCGGAGAAGAGGACCAAGGAAAGAUGCGUGGAGAGGUUUGGAAGCUCUAGGAGAAGAAAGAUGUUGGGAACAAAUAACUGCCUGCACCUUCUCUCCUGCCCAGAGGAAAGAGCCAGGAAAUAGGAAGAUUUCCAAGCCAAAGUCUGCAACUCAUCCAUGGGGCUGCAGGAUCAUGCAUAUUGCCGACUGAACUCAGGACCACUGAAGUCUCCCAUGACCCACAAAUGCCUUGAACUAAACAUACUGCAGGGAUGCUGACAUCUAUAAACUUAUGAGUCCGAUGAGGUCUCCACUGAUAUUAAACCUCUUGAAGCCUU